CCGGCCGAAAUGCUUCUUAUUUGUUAGUGUGGCAGCGAUGAUAACAGCACCCCCAGACACCCUGGUAAAUCGCUUCUCUCGAGCGCUUUGUUGUGGUCUUCGUUGAGUUCUGAGUGAGGUGUGAAAUCUGAGAAGACAGAAUUUGUUUUCAUUCUUCACUUUCUUUAGCUUGCCCAUGGUGAUGUGAAGAUGAGAAGAAAUAGCAAGGCCCAACCAGUUCUUCAUCUGGAGACAGUUCAACGUUCUGCAAACCAGAUCUUCAGGAAUUUUACUGGGAUAAUUAUCCAAAUAAAUUGCAAGCAUUCUAUCCAAAUGGAGCUCUUUCUGAGAUGAAGAGAAUUCUCAAUGUCAAGAUUUGAACAAGAAGAGAAUGGAAUACACAAUAUGGACAUCCAUAAAAAUUCAUCAGAGAGCAUUUUACUACUGAGCUGCAAAGGUAGGAAAAAUAAAUUUUUUUUGGUUAGAAAAUAUACUUCUUUCAUCUGCGUUUCAAUAAUUUAUUCCCCUUGUUAGAUAUACAUGGAAUUGAUAUUGCUUAUUCUGACUAAGUGAAAAGUGUUAUUUCUACUUACUGCUCAAUUAGAAACAUGUAGUGUUUAAUUGUCAGUUUGAAUUUUUCUUUCAUACUAUUACAGUUUAUAUUUUACUAUAGGCAGAAUUUCCUCUUUAUCCUAAAUUUUGAUAUUCUCCAUAAUUUCAUCGUGCCUUGACAUUGCUGUAUAUAAUUUCUAUACAUCAGGAAGGCAAUUCUGUGUGCAUGUGUGUGUGUAUAUAUAUAGUUAGAAGUUAGAAACUGAAACUCUUUUUUGUCUACCAUCAUUUCAUAUUUUUCUUGCUAUUUCAAACCUAUAAUUUUUAAAGAAACGACUAACGUAAUCAUUCAUAGAAUAUGCUGUCAGUAACUUAACAAUAUAAAUGUUAACAUGGAGGCAUUUAGUUCAGCAUUUGCUUUACUUAAUAGAGUGCAGAAAAUGUGGCCCUUUUCUCAGUUAGGGUGUAUGUGAAGAUAAAUUUAGAAUUUCUAGACUAGUAAAUACUUCUCUGAUAAUAACUUAAUUAUAGCUAUUUCAAACCAAAUUGUUUAAUUGUGGUGAAUCAUAUGUAAAUUGUUCAGAUGUAGGUCAACACCCACGCCCACAUUCUAGCACCUCUUUCCUAAUUCAAGACAACUUUGCAGUGCCUAAAAGAGCUGAACAGUGCAGAUUAGAGACAUAA
This 1215-nucleotide long non-coding RNA is filed under the name Homo sapiens (human). RNAcentral describes it as "mir-99a-let-7c cluster host gene". The record is from RNAcentral. Lineage: Eukaryota; Metazoa; Chordata; Mammalia; Primates; Hominidae.